GUGAAUCAUCAAAUCUUUGAACGCAAAUUGCGCUUCCUGGCAUCCCGGGAAGUAUGCCUGUUUGAGGGUCAGUAUUAAUAAAAAAUCGGUUUAGUUACAAAUUGUGACAUUUCCGGAGUUUAUUCUAUCUUAACAUUUUUGAUUAAGAGGCUUAAAAUUGACCUUUUUUGCGCAUUUUUAAAC
Molecule: unclassified non-coding RNA, 183 nt
Filed under: Glomeraceae sp.
Lineage: Eukaryota; Fungi; Glomeromycota; Glomeromycetes; Glomerales; Glomeraceae
Description: partial contains 5.8S ribosomal RNA and internal transcribed spacer 2
Rfam family: 5.8S ribosomal RNA (bases 1-71)
Source: RNAcentral